This 80-nucleotide non-coding RNA is filed under the name Schistosoma japonicum. The record is from RNAcentral. Lineage: Eukaryota; Metazoa; Platyhelminthes; Trematoda; Strigeidida; Schistosomatidae.
AGCUUGACCCGAUGCAUAUGUAUGCAUACAAAAUGUUGUUUUUAAUACUUUUUGUUAUGCAUACACGUGUAAUGCUAAGC